UGGGGAAUUUUGCACAAUGGGGGAAACCCUGAUGCAGCGACGCCGCGUGAUUUAGAAGGCUUUCGGGUUGUAAAAAUCUUUUCUAUGGGAAGAAAAUGACAGUACCAUAGGAAUAAGGACCGGCUAAUUACGUGCCAGCAGCCGCGGUAAUACGUAAGGUCCGAGCGUUGUCCGGAAUCAUUGGGCGUAAAGGGUACGUAGGCGGGUAAGCAAGUCAGAAGUGAAAUCCUAUAGCUCAACUAUAGUAAGCUUUUAAAACUGCUCAUUUUGAGGUAUGGAAGGGAAAGUGGAAUUCCUAGUGUAGCGGUGAAAUGCGCUGAUAUUAGGAGGAAUACCGGUGGCGAAGGCGACUUUCUGGCCAUAACCUGACGCUGAGGUACGAAAGCGUGGGUAGCAAAGAGG
This 402-nucleotide ribosomal RNA is filed under the name bacterium. RNAcentral's name for it is "partial 16S ribosomal RNA". It matches the Rfam family "Bacterial small subunit ribosomal RNA", at positions 355 to 776 of the family's 1533-position model. The record is from RNAcentral.